CACGUAGGGGCGAGCGUUGUCCGGAUUAUUGGGCGUAAAGAGCUCGUAGGCGGUUCUGUAAGUCGGGUGUGAAAACUUACGGGCUCAACCCGGAGACGCCACUCGAUACUGCGGUGACUAGAGUCCGGUAGGGGAGUGUGGAAUUCCUGGUGUAGCGGUGAAAUGCGCAGAUAUCAGGAGGAACACCAACGGCGAAGGCAGCACUCUGGGCCGGUACUGACGCUGAGGAGCGAAAGCGUGGGGAGCGAACA
This 251-nucleotide ribosomal RNA is filed under the name uncultured bacterium. Its description in RNAcentral is "partial 16S ribosomal RNA". It matches the Rfam family "Bacterial small subunit ribosomal RNA", at positions 524 to 774 of the family's 1533-position model. The record is from RNAcentral.